Long non-coding RNA from Neomonachus schauinslandi (Hawaiian monk seal), 330 nucleotides. RefSeq lists it as uncharacterized. The record is from RefSeq and is a predicted model, not a curated record. The transcript is spliced from 3 exons. NCBI's taxonomy places the organism in Eukaryota, Metazoa, Chordata, Mammalia, Carnivora, Phocidae.
CACCAACUAUGUUGGGCCCUUCUUGCUUACAAAUCUACUCCAAGGGGCCCUACAACGGGCAGGGUCAGCCCGGGUAGUGAAUGUGUCUUCCUUUCGGCAUGCACACGGGUAUGUUGAUGAGAAACAUCUGACAGGGGCUGGUAAGCCUUUGACCUUUAACCAGAACUACGACUGCAGCAAACUGCUCUUGACCUCCUUCACUGGAGAGCUUGCCCGGAGACUUCAAAGGACAGGUGUGACUGUGAACUCUGUGGACCCAGGUGUAGUAUACACGGAGAUCAUGAAGCAUUUCUCUUGGCCGUACCGCCUCUUCUUCUGGCUCUUCAGCUU